AACGAACGUUAGCGGCGCGCUUAACACAUGCAAGUCGAGCGAGAAAGGGGCAACCCCGGUAAAGCGGCGCACGGGUGAGUAACACGUAGGUAAUCUACCCCCAGGUGGUGGAUAACCUUCCGAAAGGAAGGCUAAUACAGCAUGGGACCACGGCUCCGAAAGGAGUUGAGGUGAAAGUCGGCCUCUUCACGAAAGCCGACGCCAGGGGAUGAGUCUGCGGCCCAUCAGCUAGUUGGUAGGGUAAUGGCCUACCAAGGCGAAGACGGGUAGCUGGUCUGAGAGGAUGAUCAGCCACACUGGAACUGAGACACGGUCCAGACUCCUACGGGAGGCAGCAGUGGGGAAUCUUGCGCAAUGGACGAAAGUCUGACGCAGCGACGCCGCG
RNAcentral lists this ribosomal RNA (385 nucleotides) under uncultured bacterium. RNAcentral describes it as "bacterial SSU rRNA". It matches the Rfam family "Bacterial small subunit ribosomal RNA", at positions 29 to 401 of the family's 1533-position model. The record is from RNAcentral.